This 437-nucleotide ribosomal RNA is filed under the name Paradiplectanum sillagonum. Its description in RNAcentral is "bacterial SSU rRNA". It matches the Rfam family "Eukaryotic small subunit ribosomal RNA", at positions 1393 to 1830 of the family's 1831-position model. The record is from RNAcentral. Lineage: Eukaryota; Metazoa; Platyhelminthes; Monogenea; Dactylogyridea; Diplectanidae.
GUAAGCAGGUGAUACUUCUUAGAGGGACUGGUGUCCUACAAGGCGCACGAGAAAGAGCAAUAACAGGUCUGUGAUGCCCUAAGAUGUUCGGGGCCGCACGCGUGCUACAAUGACGAUGCUAGUGAGUUUGAUAUUCUGGCUCGGAAGGGUCGGGCAAACUUGUUAAUCAUCGUCGUGACUGGGAUUGGGGUUUGUAAUUAUCCCCCAUGAACCAGGAAUUCCUAGUAAGUACAAGUCAUAAGCUUGUGCUGAUUACGUCCCUGCCCUUUGUACACACCGCCCGUCGCUACUACCGAUUGAACGGUUUAGCAAGGUCAUUGGAUUGGCCCUCUUUCGGCCUCGGUCGUUGAGGGCUGAAAAGAUGACCGAACUUGAUCGUUUAGAGGAAGUACAAGUCGUAACAAGGUUUCCGUAGGUGAACCUGCGGAAGGAUCACU